This 253-nucleotide ribosomal RNA is filed under the name uncultured bacterium. RNAcentral's name for it is "partial 16S ribosomal RNA". It matches the Rfam family "Bacterial small subunit ribosomal RNA", at positions 524 to 776 of the family's 1533-position model. The record is from RNAcentral.
UACGGGGGGGGCAAGCGUUGUUCGGAAUUACUGGGCGUAAAGGGCGCGUAGGCGGUCGAACAAGUCAGCUGUGAAAACCACGGGCUUAACUCGUGGCCUGCAGUUGAAACUGUUUGGCUAGAGUGUGGGAGAGGAGAGUGGAAUUCCUGGUGUAGCGGUGAAAUGCGUAGAUAUCAGGAGGAACACCGGUGGCGAAGGCGGCUCUCUGGACCACAACUGACGCUGAGGCGCGAAAGCCAGGGGAGCAAACAGG